Molecule: long non-coding RNA, 248 nt
Organism: Olea europaea var. sylvestris
Lineage: Eukaryota; Viridiplantae; Streptophyta; Magnoliopsida; Lamiales; Oleaceae
Exons: 3
Source: RefSeq, a predicted model, not a curated record
GAGAAGAGAAGGAAAAAGAGAAAGAAGGAAGAAAGGGGAAGAAGAGGACGCGAGGUGUGAGGAACUCGAAUUGGAGCUCAAGUUUGGGGAUUUCUUCAUUUCCAAUUCCAGCUGGGUGGUGACGAGGAAAUUGAAAACGUUUAUUAGGCAAUCUAGCUUGUAGCUCCUACCUUGUGAGUGGAUAAAACUUAUUUUUAAGAAAUAAGUCUUCUUUAAAUUUUAAAGUUAUUUAUUUUAUAAAGUUGACU